Molecule: ribosomal RNA, 492 nt
Filed under: uncultured bacterium
Lineage: Bacteria
Description: partial 16S ribosomal RNA
Rfam family: Bacterial small subunit ribosomal RNA
Source: RNAcentral
AGUGAACGCUGGCGGUAGGCCUAACCCUUGCAAUUCGAACGGCAGCACCGUAAUAGCUUGCUUUUACGGGUGGCGAGUGGCUGACUGGUGAGGAAUUCAUCUGCCUCUACUUUUUCGUUGGGGAUAACGUAGUGAAACUUACGCUAAUACCGCAUACCACCUACGGGUUAAAGCAGGGGAUCUUCGGACCUUGCGCGAUUGACUGAGCCGAUGUCGGAUUAGAUAGUUGGCGGGGUAAAGGCCCACCAAGGCGACGAUCCGUAGCUGGUCUGAGAGGAUGAUAAGCGACACUGGAACUGAGACACGGUCAAGACGCCUAAGGGAGGCAGCAGUGGGGAAUAGGGGGCAAUGGGCGCAAGCCUGAUCCAGCCAGACCGAGUGGGUGAAGAAGGCCUUCGGGUUGGAAAGACCGUUUGUUGGGAAAGAAAAGCAGCAGGUUAAGACCCCGCGGUUCUGACGGUAACCAAAGAAUAAGCACCGGCUAACUUCGUG